This 249-nucleotide ribosomal RNA is filed under the name uncultured Staphylococcus sp. Its description in RNAcentral is "partial 16S ribosomal RNA". It matches the Rfam family "Bacterial small subunit ribosomal RNA", at positions 112 to 355 of the family's 1533-position model. Lineage: Bacteria; Bacillati; Bacillota; Bacilli; Caryophanales; Staphylococcaceae. The record is from RNAcentral.
AACACGUGGGUAACCUACCUAUAAGACUGGGACAACUUCGGGAAACCGGAGCUAAUACCGGAUAAGAUAUCGAACCGCAUGGUUCGAUAGUGAAAGAUGGUUUUGCUAUCACUUAUAGAUGGACCCGCGCCGUAUUAGCUAGUUGGUGAGGUAACGGCUCACCAAGGCAACGAUACGUAGCCGACCUGAGAGGGUGAUCGGCCACACUGGAACUGAGACACGGUCCAGACUCCUACGGGAGGCAGCAGC